This 433-nucleotide ribosomal RNA is filed under the name uncultured bacterium. RNAcentral describes it as "partial 16S ribosomal RNA". It matches the Rfam family "Bacterial small subunit ribosomal RNA", at positions 29 to 507 of the family's 1533-position model. The record is from RNAcentral.
AGCGAACGCUGGCGGCAGGCCUAACACAUGCAAGUCGAACGAACUCUUCGGAGUUAGUGGCGGACGGGUGAGUAACACGUGGGAACGUGCCUUUUGGUUCGGAAUAACUCAGGGAAACUUGUGCUAAUACCGAAUGUGCCCUUCGGGGGAAAGAUUUAUCGCCAUUAGAGCGGCCCGCGUCUGAUUAGCUAGUUGGUGAGGUAACGGCUCACCAAGGCGACGAUCAGUAGCUGGUCUGAGAGGAUGACCAGCCACACUGGGACUGAGACACGGCCCAGACUCCUACGGGAGGCAGCAGGGGGGAAUCUUGCGCAAUGGGCGAAAGCCUGACGCAGCCAUGCCGGGGUAAUGAUGAAGGUCUUAGGAUUGUAAAAUUCUUUCAACGGGGAAGAUAAUGAAGGUACCCGGAGAAGAAGCCCCGGCUAACUUCGUG